Molecule: RNA transcript, 8001 nt
Organism: Mytilus californianus (California mussel)
Lineage: Eukaryota; Metazoa; Mollusca; Bivalvia; Mytilida; Mytilidae
Exons: 7
Source: RefSeq, a predicted model, not a curated record
UAAUUAGGUCACAGUAUGGAGGAUAUGAGAUUCAAGUCUCAUUUACAGAAAAAUGGGGUAAAGAGGAAUACACGGGAAAAAAAGACAUGCUCGAAGACUUAUUUAAACAUAGAACACCUUUAUUGCCCUGCUCUUAUUUUUGGCCUCUGAUUUAAUUACAACCACUGACUGAACCAGAUGGCACAACGGAGAGUCAUACGCACAUACAAUAUCAAGUUGAAGUCUAUUUACACAUAUUAGUAAUAAUGGAGUCUGGAUCUGCUGAUGAAGAUGCAGAGAGUCUGUUCCAAAAUCUUAAAUUAAAAAGAAAGCGUUUAAAUCAUUUAAUGACUAAUGAUGGAUAUUUCAAAUCUGAUGGUUGUCCAACAACAGAUGGUUCUGAUAGUGGGUACAUAAGUAGUGAAUGUUUAAGCUUAGAUAUUAAGAAGAUUAAAGACAGACAAAACAUUUUCAAGCCUCCACUCAACACUGCAGUUAGGCCUUUAUUACCAAAUAGUACCCACUGUCAUGUCAGGGGCAGUAUUUCAUCUGUCUCAUUAGACCAAAAAGAUUCUCAUUCUUCAAUUUGUGUGAAAUCUCCAAAAAGAGACAAAUCAUUUUCUCAAGAAGACCUGUCAAAAUUGUGCACCUUGCCAUCUUCUCAGUAUGUUUCUGUACCAGGAUUGUUUAUUGUUCCUGGACAUAAAAAUAUAUUAGGUCAUCCAUUGACACCUUGUCCAGUAACUCUAGCUCAGGAAGGUGAUGGCAAUACACAGCAGCCUGAAGUACACCUUCUAUCAGCUCUCCCUAAAGGAUAUGUCUUAGCCAUGGUGCCAGAAAGUAAGAGUUUGGAUCUAGUUAGUCAGGGUAUUAGACCUGUUGUGAGCAAGAUGUCUAAAAGCUUGCUGGCUGAAAAGCUUAACCAGAAACAACAAAAUGGCCCAGAUCUGACCUGUAAUAAGGAAAAGAAACAAGAUUAUUCUUUUAUUCAUCAUUAUAUUAACAAUGAAUUUGAAUAUAGUGGUGUUUUAAAGGAAAAUGAAACAGAUUCCUUAAAUACAUCUACAGAUAAAACAGACUCUGAUACCUCAGACCAACUACUUUGUGCUAUCUGCAGUGACAAGGCUUCUGGAAUUCAUUAUGGCAUGGUUACAUGUGAAGGGUGUAAAGGAUUUUUUAAGAGAACAGUACAAGGAAGGAGAAUCUAUAAAUGUUCGGGAAAAGAAGACUGUGCAAUGAAUAGACUGCUUAGGAAUCGAUGUCAAUAUUGUAGAUUUAAAAAGUGUCUGAAAGUUGGAAUGGUCUUAUCAGCGGUUAGAGAAGAUCGAAUGCCUGGAGGAAGGAACUCAGGUGCUGUUUACAACUUAUACAAGGUUAAAUACAAGAAGUACAAGAAAAAACAAGAUAUGAUGUCUUUGUACAAAGAGGAAGUUGGAAAAGUUAAAUUAAUUGAAGAUCAGGCACCAAAAAUGGUAGAAAAUAUUGUUGAAUCAUGUUUUUUUCAUCAUGCUGACAGAAAGGACAAAUCAUUAGGAAAAAAACAAGACAAUAGAGGUGAAUAUGGAAAUGAAUGGUCUAGGAAACAACAACAUUUGACUGCCUCAAAAAAUAAAUACAUAUGCAAAAUACUCAAUUCUCCACAUGAGUUGUCAACUAAUACAGGUUGUCAGCAAGAUCAGUUGCGAAUCCUUGAAAACAUGGUUCAGUGUAUUCCACAAGAUGAGAAAGCUUAUGAUUCAAAGUCUACUUAUGGUAAUGAAAAACUGGAGUAUAACAGUUCAGUUAAUUCUGAUAUUACUUCUUUUACUUCCUGCUCUCCGGGAAUGUUUGGUUUGAAUAAAAACUUAACAGAUCCUCCCAGAGCCACUUCAAUCACAAAACAUCAGGAAAAUGCUGUUAAGAAGGAUUCAAGUGUGUACUAUGAUCACAGCACAAAAAGUCCUAAAUAUUUAAUUGUUGACCAUGGGGAAGAUAGCUCAAGUUUAAAGUCUCCUGUGACUGACCAUGACUUAUCAUUUGAAGACUUUCACAGACCUCACAAUAUUGCAAAACCUACUUUUUCCUUAUGUAAAGAAGAUGAUGAAGGGUACAAACAGAAUGAAAUUAAUUUGAGACAGCCACCUCCUUGGAUGCACCAAAUUAAUACCAAUAAAAACAAUGAUAGUACCAAUUUACAUCAUUGUGGUCAAUCAAGAAGUUCAUGGGAAAAUGCCAAUUUUCCACUUACAGAAGACCAUCUUAACAUGUUUAAUAGAGGGAAGACUUCUAAGUAUCAUCAAAAUAUCUCACAACUGCCAGGACGUUCUUCUAAACAUCAUCGUGAAAUUGGCCUUGAUUUAACAAAAAUUCCAGGAAAUAGGGAUAUUGCAUAUGAUCCUACAAGUCUCUGGGUGAACACCAACAAAACAUAUUCCCAAUCUGAUGUAGAUUUAACAGAGUAUGUUUCUGAUAAAAAGUGUACUUCUUAUAGAAAGCAUAAUGUUGAAUGUAGAGCAGCAACCAAGAAGACAGAAACAGGUACAAUAGGCAAGUCUGAAAAAAGUCAUAGUCAGUUUGGUGGUGAUGAAAAGAAAGAUUCUGAGUGUUGUUUCCUGAUUGGAGUAGAUUUAUCAAGUCAUUUGAUCUCAGACUCAAGUUUAUUAGAAAAGGAAGGAAUCUCUGAUUGUACAGGCAAAAUAAGUGACCAGAAUAGCUUGGAUUUUAAUACAUCUAAAAGUUUCAGUGUCUCGCCUCAAUAUGAUGAGAGUGAUAUUAAAGUUUCAGAUGACCAUACUGCCACAGUUGAGGAGGAAGGGAGUGAAAUCACUAAAGAAAGCCAUGAAAAUGACAAACAAAAUUCAAUCAUUCAAAAGCUAUCACCCUGGUUCCAAAGUACAGGAAACUUACAAAGUUUCAUAGGACAAACCGAUAACAGAUUGUCUGAAAUCCUCAAUUGCUUAAAAUACUUAAAGGUGGAGUUUGAUAUCAGCAUGAUUAAUGACUCUGCUGAUAAAGUCAUGAAAAACAUGUGUGAUGUAGGGGACAAUUUUGUAACCAAUUUAGUUACGUGGACAAAACAUCUUCCCUUUUACGGUGAAGUACCUACUGAAGUAUAUUCUGAGCUUCUAACAGAAAAAUGGCACAAGAUGAUUAUCCUAUUAACAUCAGCUCAGCCAGUUUUAAGGAAAGUUGAGAUGUCCGCUACCUUUGAUGUAUUUCAUCAACAAAAGUUGAGAAAUGUGAAAAUUUGUUUGAAAAAAUUAUUCAAAAAGAACUUGGGGACUGACAUUAUUAGUUCAAAUAUGGAUUUGUUCAUCAGACAUAUGUGUAAAAUCAUGUUUACAUUUCAUUUAUUGCUGUUGAAAGAAGAGGAGUAUGCAUGCUUGCAGGUCAUAUUAUUACUCAAACAAGGUGAUGGGAAAAGAAAUGAAAUUGUUGCCAGAAUUCAUGACCAAUAUGUUGAAGUGUUAAAAAGUUUUACUGACAGUGCUCAUGGAGAUGUCGCAGGCCAUGUUCACCGCUUGGACAAGUUAUUAUUACAACUCCCAGAAAUACAAAUGGCUUCAGAUAUUCUAUUGGAAACAAAAAUGAUUUAUAUUCCAUUUUUUCUUAAUUUGUGAAUAUAAAUCUGAUCCGCAAUUUACCAAAUGUAGACUUAAUGUAUAUAUAUAUAUAUAUAUACUUAAACAUCAUCAGACAGUGAAACUGUCUUCAUGCUUAUAUGAGAUUAACAGUGACUACUUAUAAAAUAAACUUACAUUUAAUGUUGGAUUUUGAACUUACCCUUAUUUUCAACUGAUUUUUAUACGACCGCAAACAAAUUUUUGUGGUCGUAUAUUGGUAUGACGUUGGCGUCGUCGUCCGAAGACACAUUAGUUUUCACACUCUAACUUUAGUUUAAGUGAAUGGAUCUCAAUGAAAUUUUACCAUAAGGUUCAAUACCACAAAAGGAAGGUGGGGAUUGAUUUUGGGGGUUAUGGUACCAACAGUUAAGGAAUUAGGGGCCAAAAAUAAGCAUUUUUGUAACUUCCAGACAUAACUUGUGUGUAAGUGUAUGGAUCUCUCUGACAUUGUACCACAAGGUUCCAUAUCACAAAGGGAAUGCUGGGAUUGAUUUUGGGGGUAAUUGCCUCCAAAUUUUAGGAAUUAGGGGCCAAAAAACAAGCAUUUUUCUAGUUUCAUGACAAUAACUUGUGUGUAAGAGUAUGGAUCUUUAUGAAAUUGUACUACAAGGUUCCAUAUCACAAAAGGAAAGCUGGAAAUGAGUUUGGGGGUAAUUGACCAAAAAGCUUACGAAGAAGGGGCCAAAAAGGGGCCAAAUAUAAGCAUUUUUCUAGUUUCCAGACAAUUACUUGUGUUCAACUGUAUGGAUCUCUCUGAAAUUGUACUGCAAGGUACCAUACCACAAAGGGAAGGCUGGGAUUGAUUUUGGGGGUAAUUCCCUCAAAAUUUUAGGAAUUAGGGGCCAUAAAAGGGCAUUUUAUUUUUAUAUGCAAUGAUUCCAUACACCAGAUAUAUAUCGGACCUGUUGCCUUUAGUAUCUAUCUGAAAAACAGACAUAACCAUGGACAUUGACUUAAGAAGUGAUGAUCAAUGAACAUGAGGUCAAGGUAAGAUGAAACUUGCCAGACAGACAUGUACAUUUUACAAUCAUUGCUUACAGUAUCUUAGAAAUAGACCAAACUGACUAAACUUAACAUUUCCCAAUGAACCAUGAAAAAGGUCAAGGUCAAAUAAGCCUGCCAGAAAAAAAAAGUACACCUUUCAAUUUUUCCAUAUACCAUAUAGAGCUGAUCUUUUGCUUAUAGUAUCCAAGGCAGAGAUUGAAAAUAAAUGGGGAAUGAGUCCAUGGGACACAGAUGAUGCCCCCCCCUUGCGUAUCAUAUAAAGUUAUAAAGGGACAUAACUGAAGAACGGUAAAAGUGACUCUACCAAAGUUCAAACUUGAUCUGUAUUUUGUGGUAAUAAACAUUUGGUUGAGGCAAACUAAGAGAACGGAAACGAAAAAUUCAGCAAUUUUCCCAUUUGUGAAGGGGCAUAACUCUAGAACGGUUAAAGUGACACCACCAAAAUUCAAACUUGAUCUGUAUUUUGUGGCAAUAAGCAUUGUGUAUAAGUUUCAUAACAUUUGGUUGAGGCAAACUAAAUUUUAGAGAACGGAAACCAACAUUGGGAUGUACGGACGUACAGAUGGACAAGGGUAAAACUUAAUGCCCCCUCUGCUACGGCGGGGGCAUAAAAAUUAUUUUUUACAUUGACCAAUGAGCCAUUAAAAUGAAGUCAAGGUCAGACAAAAUCUACAGUCAAACAUGUACACCUUACAAUCAUUCCAAACACCAAAUAUAGUUGACGUUUUGCUUAUGAUAUCUGAGAUAUGGACUUAACCCCCGCUUGCAUAUCAUAUAAAGUUAUAAAGGGACAUAACUGAAGAACAGUAAAAGUGACACUACCCAAAUUUGUACUUGAUCUGAGUUUUGUGGUAAUAAGUAUUGUGUAUAAGUUUCAUAACAUUUGGUUGAGGCUAACUUAAGUUAGAGAACGAAAAUGUAAAAUUCAGUAAUUUUUCCAUUUGCAUAACUCUAGAACGGUUAAAGUGACACCACCAAAAUUCAAACUUGAUCUGUAUUUUGUGGUAAUAAGCAUUGUGUAUAAGUUUGACUUUCAUAACAUUUGGUUGAGGCAAACUAAAGUUAGAGAACAGAAACCAACUUUGGGACGUACGGACGGACAAGGGUAAAACUUAAUGCCCCUCCGCUAUGACGGGGGCAUAAAAAAAACAUGAAUUCAAACAAAAUUUAGUUUUGGACCCUUUGGACCUUAAUAUGGACUAAUUUGAAAACAGGACCCAAAAUUAAUAAACUGCUUCGCUGAGCGCAGCUAGAUACGCCCGCAGAGGUCCAACCCUGAACAGUUGGGGCAAAAAUGGACACAAUAUUCAAGCUUGAUUCAGGUCUGACUUUGGAUUGUAAUUAAAUAUUUGACAUAUAAUAGGUUUCUGAAUAAAUGUAGUCAAAGAACUUGAAAUUGGUUAUAUGAAUUGAAUAUAUAUUCCAUUAAAGAUUUCUUGCUAUUGUACAAUACUUAGUAAAUCUGUUGUCAAGACUAUAAACAAAUAAAGUUCAAUUAAUUCCCAAUGUCAUAUUAGAAAUUUAUGAAAAUAAAAAAGGAGCUUACAUCAAUAGAUAUAAACAAUUCACCAAAGUUUCAUGAGAAUUGGUGACAGCAUUUUAGAGUUAUUGUCCGAAAACUGGAAAAUCACCCCCUUUUUUUAAUGUAUAAAACCCCAUAACUCAGAAAUGUAAAAUGUAAAAUUUAUAAAAUUCUAAAAGGAGCUUACAUCAAUACAUACAAACAAUUCACCAAAGUUUCAUAAGAACUGCUGAAAGCAUUUUUGAGUUUUUGUCCGAAAACUGGAAAAUCCCCCCUUUUUUUAUGAAUAAAACCCAUAACUCGGAAAAGUAAAAUCUAAAUUUUAUAAAAAAACGAAAGGGAGCUCACGUCAAUAGAUAUAAACAAUUCACCAAAGUUUUAUGCAAAUUGGUUAAAGCAAUUUUGAGUUAAUGUCCGACAUGUUGACAUCGGUAUACCAUAAUACGCCCCGUAAAUGGGCGUAUAAAAAUCUAAAUGCACAGUUAGAUUCAGCAUAUCAUAGAACCACAAAGUUAGAGUGCGUAAACCAAUAUGUCUUCGGACAAUGACGACGAUGCCAACGUCAUACCAAUAUACGACCCCAAAACUUUUUUGCGGUCGUAUAAAAACCUCAAACAAUUCAAGAUUUUAAAUUAAUCCUCAUUGAAAUUGGUUAAAAGAUUUGUAUUUAUUUUCAAUUGAAGAUUUCUUGCUGUUGUGCAAAACUUUGCUGUUGCGCAAUACUUAGUAAAUCUGUUUUCAAACUGAAUAUAAUAAUUUACACACCCUGUUUGGUGUGUAUCUCCUGCCAUAUCAGUAUUUGUUGUUUCUUUAUAUAGAUCAGAAAUAAUUUAUGUUAGAACCAGCUUAGCCAGUAUUAGAAAGGUCUUGUUUUAGGCCCCUAUUUGGCCUCUAGUUUCUUAACCAUUAAAGCCACAACCCACAAAAUCCUUCCCAACCUUCUGCGUGUGGUAUGGAACCUUGUGGUACAAUUUCAUAGAGAUCCAUGGACUAAUACUUAAGUAUUUGUCCGGAAACUAGAAUAAACUGCUUCGCUGAGCGCAGCUGGAUAUGACCGCAGAGGUCCAACCCUGAACAGUUGGGGCAAAAAUGGACACAAUAUUCAAGCUUGAUACAGGUCUGAAUUUGGAUUGUAAUUAAAUAUUUGACACAUUAUAGGUUUCUGACACAGAAUAAAUGUAGUCAAAGAACUUGAAAUUGGUUAUAUGAUUUGAAUUUAUAUUCAAUUGAAGAUUUCUUGCUGUUGUGCAAUACACUGUGCUGUUGCGCAAUUCUUAGUAAGUCUGUUUUCAGACUAUGUACAAAGAAUAAGAAAAAUAAAUUGUGACCCCAAAUUUUUCUUUGGAAAAUUGACAAUUUCUUAAAUCUUGAGAAAAAAAUAUUGACCAACCCCUCCAAAACAAAUUUGUUUUUUAACCCCCCCCCCUUUUUUGCAGAAAUUUUCUUUUUAAUUUCUUAAAUCUUGUUGAAAAAAAAUAAUGAAAUUCCUGAACAGUUUGGGCAAUUACCCCCAAAAUGAAUCCCAACCUUCUACUUGUGGUAUUGAACCUUGUGGUACAAUUUCAGAGCAAUCAAAAUACUUAUACACAAUUUAUUGUCCUGAAACUAGAAAAAUGCUUGUUUUGGUACCCCUUUUUGGCCCCUAAUUCCUAAAUGGUUGGGACCAUCAACCCCAUACUACCUUUUGUGGUAUUGAACCUUUUGAUAAAAUUUCAUAGAGAUCCAUACACUUAAACUAAAGUUAUUGUCCGGAAACCAAAUGUCUUCGGACGACGACGACGCUGACAACAACGUGAUAGCAAUAUACGACCCCAAAUUUUUUUGCGGUCGUAUAAAAAUGCCUUUUUUGGCAUCUUUUUUACCCUUAAUUCCAAAACAGUUGGGACCAUAACC